UACGUAGGGUGCGAGCGUUAAUCGGAAUUACUGGGCGUAAAGUGUGCGCAGGUGGCCGCGCAAGUCGAGUGUGAAAUCCCCGAGCUUAACUUGGGAAUUGCGCUCGAAACUACGUGGCUCGAGUGUGGCAGAGGAAGGUGGAAUUCCACGUGUAGCGGUGAAAUGCGUAGAGAUGUGGAGGAACACCAAUGGCGAAGGCAGCCUUCUGGGCCAACACUGACGCUCAUGCACGAAAGCGUGGGGAGCAAACAGG
RNAcentral lists this ribosomal RNA (253 nucleotides) under uncultured bacterium. Its description in RNAcentral is "partial 16S ribosomal RNA". It matches the Rfam family "Bacterial small subunit ribosomal RNA", at positions 524 to 776 of the family's 1533-position model. The record is from RNAcentral.